GGGGGUGUAGCUCAGUGGUAGAGCUCCUGCCUAGCAUGCAGAAGGUCCUGGGUUCCAUCCCCAUCACUGCCA
Molecule: non-coding RNA, 72 nt
Organism: Nannospalax galili (Upper Galilee mountains blind mole rat)
Lineage: Eukaryota; Metazoa; Chordata; Mammalia; Rodentia; Spalacidae
Source: the annotation of a RefSeq genome assembly